This 3711-nucleotide long non-coding RNA is filed under the name Capra hircus (goat). RNAcentral's name for it is "lncRNA (ENSCHIG00010021829.1)". Lineage: Eukaryota; Metazoa; Chordata; Mammalia; Artiodactyla; Bovidae. The record is from RNAcentral.
GCCCGGCAGCCCGUCUGCUCCCUGGACCCGCACCCGGCACGCACUGCGCGCGCGCACCGCGCACACCUGCCGGCCGUCUGCAGGAUGCGCCCGGGCGGCGGGGGCGUUGGCGCAGCCCGCCUAGUGAGGUCGCGAGUUCUGCUCCGUGGACGCCGGGGCUGGGGCGUCGUGGCGCGCUGCCUGGAAGAACCCAGCCCUUCCUCCGCUACAUCUGACUCGCCCGCCGGCCAAAGGCUGCAGAGGUCCUCUGAACAAUUAUCUAGAAAUGAAAUAAAUGAAACUUGAAUACUGAUUUGGUAAGAUUUUAAACAUAAAAGUUUUAGAAUUAUACAUAUAGUAUCUGUUUAUUGUAGAAACACNNNNNNNNNNNNNNNNNNNNNNNNNNNNNNNNNNNNNNNNNNNNNNNNNNNNNNNNNNNNNNNNNNNNNNNNNNNNNNNNNNNNNNNNNNNNNNNNNNNGUUUUAGAAUUAUACAUAUAGUAUCUGUUUAUUGUAGAAACACUGGAAUAUAUGGGAAAAUAGAAAUAAGGAAAUACCAAUACUUCUACCACCCAGAGAUAAUCACUUGUUAUUUUGGUGUCUUUCUUUCCAGUUUAUUUUUCUAAUAAUUAAAAAAAAAUACUGUGAUUGUAUGAUAUCUUAAUUUUCCUAUGUUACUUGAAAUGAGAAUAUUUUCCUAUAAAUCAUUAACAAAGGUUUGUAAAUAUUGUUUUGAUGAUCACAAAAUGGUAUUGUUGAGCUGGUAGAGACCUUUUUGCUUUCUGAGCUUAGUAACAAGCCAGUUUAGUAGAGGUUGAUGUAGAAGUAGUUUUCUCAGAACCAAAGGCUCUUCAAUAGUCUGAUCUGACUUACCGUAUCAUUAGGAAGUGACUGGACCAUUCAGAAACAAGUUAAAGGCAUGAGCAAAUCAUAUGGCUUCCCUCCUAUCUGAGGUGGAAUGUCAGGCGGAAGCCUUGGUUCUUGCCUUUUUUAGGUCAGUGAAGAUUCUCAUUAGUCUUGGAAGAACCUCCAGUGACGGGAUUACUGAGUGGUUCAGUCUUAACUACAAUCGGCCAGUCCGUUAACUUCCCCUAGUGGACAAACCAAAUGCCUUUCCUGACAUCGCCAGACUCUAGCCUAGAUGUCGCAUGUGCAGUAAGCAAAUAGUUCAGAUCCUGCUCUUGAUGCAUUAGCAACCUAGCUGAGAUCGUUAGUCAAAAUUUGUUUGGAAGUUUCUGUACAGGGUUACAUCUUUGAAGUGUCUCAUCAAUCAGUAAGCAUGUGGUAUAACAGAACGGAUUAUAAAGUGAUAUUCCAGUUUUUCAAAAUGAAACAAAUGAGGAAAAGUCUAUUCAGUUAUUUAGCCCAUGUGCACGGAGCAAACAUUUUGUAAGCCCUUGGGUUGUAUAUUUGGCUGAAUUCUGCAAUCAGGAAAGAGGUCACUACCUAGAAUAUAUGUCAAUUAUAGUCAAGAUGAGUCAUGUCCCUUCCAGAACUGAAGAAGUCCAAGAGUAAAAACUUGCCCCUAAAUGCCUGGUAAACUACCCUGAAAUAUAGUGUAAUAUCAGGGACUUAAAGUUAGUCUUGGAAGCUAGAAGACUGGACAUUUGACUAAAUAAAUGUCAUUUCUCCAACCUUGGAAAAAUCUCUCAUUUAGGAGCAGAUGAUGACCCUCAGGCAAAUAACAAUAAGAAAAUUUGUUUAAAGUAUACUGCACACAACAUAUUUUUCACAGAGCUUUUAAUCAGAAGAUUGUAUACUAGGCAUUAAUUCUAUAUUUAGCAUAAUCAAAUAAUGGAGUUCUUAUAGCUUAAAAAAAGCCAUUUAUUUCAGAAUAAACAACUCAUCCAUCUUAAAAGAGGUACUCUAAAUGAAUUUCAUGAUAGCACAAAAUAAUACACAUUUGUUAUCCUAAUCUGAAGAACAUAACUGUCACUUCUGGUGAGUUAUUCUUGAAUGAGCAAUAAGGUCAAUGGCUUAACAAAGAGAAGAAACAGAGAAGGGGAAAUAGAGAGAGGCCAGAUGUAUAUUUAUAUACCAACACCUGCUACUGAGAAAUUCCGAAGACCUCAUUCCAUGCAUGCUGUACUAAAAGCAGCCAUUUUAUCACAUGCACAUUUGAAUUGUUGGUGCAUUAGAUAAUACUCUUUUUCCAUUUGCUUUCCACACUUUAAGAUUUCUGAGAGUGUGGAGUGUCCAUAAUUAUGGUGCCUGAACACGUGGUAAUUCCGUCAGCCACAGGAAAGGGCAAAUUUGCUUUAUUCAGUUAUUGGUAUUGCCACAGGGCAAAACUGGCUCUUCACUACACAGGAAUUUAACACUUUCCAUUGCACUCAUUACCCUGUAUUAUAUGUAAAUAAAGACAUGAAUGUUUUCUAAGUUUCCACAAAUAUCUUUUUGACUACAGAUUCUCAUUUUAUUUCUUUGCUUGAUGCCCGCAUUAAAAUAAAACAGAUCAGGACAAAAGGUAAAUAAUUAACAUCACAAUUAAACCAGCUCUUUAACUAAAUAUGCAAAGGUGUUAAUUGCCCAUUUACAAAACCUUACUAAACUGAGCUCAAAUGUAUGUGUCUACAGAUGUAUAUAUAUAUAUACACACAAUAUAUAUAUAUUGCUUGUUAAUUUUUAAGAUUGGAUUUUGAAGAAAAAGUUAGGAUUCCACAUAUUAGGUACACAAAACUUACAAACAAAAUAGUGCUUGACAGUUAAAGCUGAAAGAGUAGGUUUUGAACCUGUUACUUUGGAUGACAUGUUAUAGGAAAAGGAUGCCUUUCAUAGUGAGAAACAGUUGCUCAGUUAGUGUUGCCAAUGAGUCAUUAAAAAAGAAACCUAAGACUGUGUCUAAGAAAUCAACACUAGUACUAGCUUUUGCAUUUUAUACUUUGUAGUAUUCAUUGAUGGAGAAGGAAAUGGCAACCCACUCCAGUGUUCUUGCCUGGAGAANNNNNGGGACAAAGGAGCCUGGUGGGCUGCUAUCUAUGGGAUCGCACAGAGUUGGAUGCGACUGAAGCGACUUAGCAGCAGCAGCAGCAGUAUUCAUUGGGGUAUUCAUUCAUUUCUUAAUUACAAAAUGUAUGAAUGGCCUUGUUUUCUGGAAUGAGAGAUUACCAAAAGUCAGGACCAGUAAAGUAAAUUUGCUCUAAAACCAUAAGCCUAAAAAUAGAAAUUUCUAUUAGACUCUCUUUUCAGAACGGUGAGGAGUUAAACUAACAGUUCUAGCUCUGGGACACUAGAGAAAAGUAUAAGAAUUUGCCAAGGGGAAACACUAAUUUAAAAGCAUGUAUGUAUAUGCAUUCAGCUAAGAAGAUCCGUGGGCUUCCCUGAUGGCUCAGUGGUAACUAAUCCACCUGCAGUACAGGAGAUGUGGAUUGAACCCGGGUUGCGAAGAUCGGAGUAGGAAAUGGUAACCCGCUCCAAUAUUUUGCCUGGAAAAUCCCAUGGAUGGAGAAGCUGGGCAGGCUACAGUCCAUAGGGUUGAAAAGAGUCAGAUACAACUGAGCAUACACACACACAAGACAAUCCCUAGAACGAGAAAAAAUGUUAAGAUUUUCAUAAGGAUUUCAUUUCUAUUAUGCUUGCCCUGUUGCUAGAGUUAACAUUGGCUAGGAUGGACAGCUUUUACACGCAAUCAUUGUAGGACUUUCAUUCCAAAUUUUAAGAUUGUGGCUGUAAAACAACUUUCAUAUAAAUGAGACAUUGAAAAAUCACUUUGUAAUACAAAAUAACAUCUGAG